RNAcentral lists this ribosomal RNA (468 nucleotides) under uncultured bacterium. RNAcentral describes it as "partial 16S ribosomal RNA". It matches the Rfam family "Bacterial small subunit ribosomal RNA", at positions 28 to 507 of the family's 1533-position model. The record is from RNAcentral.
GACGAACGCUGGCGGCGUGCUUAACACAUGCAAGUCGAACGGAAAGGCCCUGCUUUUGUGGGGUGCUCGAGUGGCGAACGGGUGGGUAACACGUGAGUAACCUGCCCUUGACUUUGGGAUAACUUCAGGAAACUGGGGCUAAUACCGGAUAGGAGCUCCUGCUGCAUGGGGGGGGUUGGAAAGUUUCGGCGGUUGGGGAGGGGCGGGCGGCUUAUCAGCUUGUUGGUGGGGUAGGGGCUUACCAAGGCUUUGACGGGUAGCCGGCCUGAGAGGGUGACCGGCCCGAUUGGGACUGCGAUACGGCCCAGCCUCCUACGGGAUGCAGCAGUGGGGAAUAUUGCACAAUGGGCGGACGCCUGAUGCAGCAACGCCGCGUGCGGGAUGACGGCCUUCGGGUUGUAAACCGCUUUCGCCUGUGACGAAGCGUGAGUGACGGUAAUGGGUAAAGAAGCACCGGCUAACUACGUG